GGAAAAAUCUUAUAAAAUGAAGAAAGAAAAGGCUAUGGGAACUCAGUCGAGUGAGCACCUCCAACACGGCAACAACUGCAGCUCAUUAUUUCUCACCAACUGCCUUCUUCAUUGUAAUACCGGUUCGCAAUCACGGUUUAUAGUACAGUUAACUAUGGCGCCAUGCUGCCGUUUGGUGUCGCAUGGUUAAUGGUUGGGUCGACCACGGGUGUACCGAUGUCUCCUGGACAUGGUGGAUACCAAGCAACAGCAGCAAAAUAAUAGGACACCACGUCGCCGCCUUACUACACAACAACGUCUAGAUACGCAACAUCUACUUACUACGCCGUGGCUCUCGAGUACUACAGUACGGAGUAUACGUAUACUGUCCCAGCCUACUACACCGAAGUCCCCUAGUACUACACGACUACGAAUGCUGCCCCAUCUUACUACACCGAGGCUCCAUCUUAUUUCAAUACCAAAGCGGUCGAGUACUACACCGAACCGCACGAGUACUACUCUGCCCCGAACUACACAACCACAACUGAGGCGGCCAAGUACUACUUAGCCCAGACUUACAACACAGCAGCUGUUCCUUCCCUCUACGUUUAACUGUAAUACUACACCGAGGAUCCAGUCUACUACACCACAACCUACGCUACACCUAGAUACUACGACGAAGCCCCAACUACUACUACACCGAAAAGGCCACAUAACCAAGUACACUGCCCCAGUUUCCUUCACUAAAUGUAACUCUACUCCAAGAUACUACCAAACUAAGGCUCCCGUCUACUGUACCAGUACACCAAGGCCAUCGAGUAUUACACUACAACCAAAUGUUAACUAUGGUGUCCUGCUGCUGUUGGUUGUUGUUUCCUUGAUGGUCAAGUCGACCACUGGUGUACCGAUGUCUCGGGUGAAUGUGGAUAUCAAACCGCAACGCCGCCGUCUUAUAACACAAAAACAUACGCAACAACCGGUUACUUCCCCACCAAUUCCCCGGAGUAUAAUCCAUAACUGAUUAUGCCCCGAACA
This is a long non-coding RNA of Daphnia pulicaria, 1014 nucleotides long. RefSeq lists it as uncharacterized. The record is from RefSeq and is a predicted model, not a curated record. Lineage: Eukaryota; Metazoa; Arthropoda; Branchiopoda; Diplostraca; Daphniidae. The transcript has 3 exons.